This 427-nucleotide ribosomal RNA is filed under the name uncultured bacterium. RNAcentral's name for it is "bacterial SSU rRNA". It matches the Rfam family "Bacterial small subunit ribosomal RNA", at positions 355 to 775 of the family's 1533-position model. The record is from RNAcentral.
UGGGGAAUUUUGGACAAUGGGGGCAACCCUGAUCCAGCCAUGCCGCGUGCGGGAAGAAGGCCUUCGGGUUGUAAACCGCUUUUAUCCGGGACGAAGGAGUGGAGGUGAAUAGCCUUCAUGACGGACGGUCUGGAGGAAUAAGCACCGGCUAACUACGUGCCAGCAGCCGCGGUAAUACGUAGGGUGCGAGCGUUAAUCGGAAUUACUGGGCGUAAAGCGUGCGUAGGCGGUUGGCAAAGUCAGCUGUGAAAGCCCCGGGCUUAACCUGGGAAUGGCGGUUGAAACUAGUCGACUCGAAUCUGGCAGAGGGGGGUGGAAUUCCACGUGUAGCAGUGAAAUGCGUAGAGAUGUGGAGGAACACCGAUGGCGAAGGCAGCCCCCUGGGCUGAGAUUGACGCUCAGGCACGAAAGCGUGGGGAGCAAACAG